CCUACGGGAGGCAGCAGUAGGAAAUCUUUCACAAUGGGCGAAAGCCUGAUGGAGCAACGCCGCGUGCAGGAUGAAGGCCUUCGGGUUGUAAACUGCUUUUAUAAGCGAGAAAUAUGAUGGUAACUUAUGAAUAAGGAUCGGCUAACUACGUGCCAGCAGCCGCGGUCAUACGUAGGAUCCGAGCAUUAUCCGGGGUGACUGGGUGUAAAGAGUUGCGUAGGUGGCAUAAUAAGUAGCUAGUGAAAUCGGGUGGCUCAACCAUUCAGACUAUUAGCUAAACUGUUAAGCUCGAGACCGUUAGGGGUAACUGGAAUUUCUAGUGUAGGAGUGAAAUCCGUAGAUAUUAGAAAGAACACCGAUAGCGUAGGCAGGUUACUGGGACGGUUCUGACACUAAGGCACGAAAGCGUAGGGAGCAAACGGGAUUAGAUACCCGGGUAGUC
RNAcentral lists this ribosomal RNA (442 nucleotides) under uncultured bacterium. RNAcentral's name for it is "partial 16S ribosomal RNA". It matches the Rfam family "Bacterial small subunit ribosomal RNA", at positions 338 to 795 of the family's 1533-position model. The record is from RNAcentral.